UUGGGUCGUGUUAUAAAUGCUCUGGCUAAACCUAUUGAUGGGAGAGGCGAAAUUGUAGCUUCCGAAUCUCGCUUAAUUGAAUCUCCUGCUCCAAGUAGAAUUUCCAGGCGUUCCGUAUAUGAACCUCUUCAAACAGGGCUUAUUGCUAUCGAUUCGAUGAUCCCUAUAGGGCGCGGUCAGCGAGAGUUCAUUAUUGGGGACAGACAGACUGGCAAAACAGCAGUAGCCACAGAUACAAUUCUCAAGAAAAAAGGGCAAGAUGUAAGAAGAACGAGAGCGAGCCUUCACGAAAUAAAAUGA
RNAcentral lists this ribosomal RNA (300 nucleotides) under Triticum aestivum (bread wheat). RNAcentral's name for it is "partial small subunit ribosomal RNA". The record is from RNAcentral. Lineage: Eukaryota; Viridiplantae; Streptophyta; Magnoliopsida; Poales; Poaceae.